GAAAGGAAGCAGCGGCCAGAAGGUAGGAUUGGUGCCUCUGUU
Molecule: non-coding RNA, 42 nt
Filed under: Chaetoceros cf. neogracilis
Lineage: Eukaryota; Bacillariophyta; Thalassiosirophyceae; Chaetocerotales; Chaetocerotaceae
Source: RNAcentral